UGCCAGCCGCCGCGGUAAUACGGAGGGUGCAAGCGUUGUUCGGAAUUAUUGGGCGUAAAGCGCGUGUAGGCGGUUCGUUAAGUCUGAUGUGAAAGCCCGGGGCUCAACCCCGGAAGUGCAUUGGAAACUGGCGAACUUGAGUACGGGAGAGGAAAGUGGAAUUCCGAGUGUAGGGGUGAAAUCCGUAGAUAUUCGGAGGAACACCAGUGGCGAAGGCGACUUCUUGGUCCAAUACUGACGCUCAGGUGCGAAAGCGUGGGGAACAAACAGGAUUAGAUA
RNAcentral lists this ribosomal RNA (279 nucleotides) under uncultured bacterium. RNAcentral describes it as "partial 16S ribosomal RNA". It matches the Rfam family "Bacterial small subunit ribosomal RNA", at positions 506 to 784 of the family's 1533-position model. The record is from RNAcentral.